RNAcentral lists this long non-coding RNA (1019 nucleotides) under Anas platyrhynchos platyrhynchos (common mallard). RNAcentral's name for it is "lncRNA (ENSAPLG00000029445.1)". The record is from RNAcentral. Lineage: Eukaryota; Metazoa; Chordata; Aves; Anseriformes; Anatidae.
AAUGCUUCCAGUGCCCGAGAAGGGGAAACACUUUUGGUUCAUUGUGUCAUUGAUUGGCAGUUUCCUGCUACACGAGUUGUCUUCUGCAAGAAUGGGCUGGAGGAGUUCAGCCUGAAAGCCCAGCAGGGCAGGCUCAUCUACGCUCUGGUCCUGAACAUCACCUCCAGAAGUGCUGGGACGUACACGUGUGGGUACCAGCAAAAGAACAAGGAAAACAACGUGAAGAACUCUGCUCUCAGUGCUCCCCGGACCUUGUCUGUGGCAGCCGUAUAUCCCCGGAUCCUGCACACCCUCCCCACAGGCACGGUGCUGGCAGUGGCGGCCAUCGGCCUCGUCCUCCUGGGUGCAGGCAGCUGGUUUGCCAUCAGGAAAGGUGAGGGAGUAGGGGAAGGAGGGAGAAAGGCUGAGGCCGCGGGGGUCCUGCUGCGGGGCUGGUGCAGUGGGAAAGGUGGUGGGGGGAACCUGGGGGUGCACAGCUGGGGCAGACGGUGCCUGGGAGUGAUGGCUGUGGGCAGCCCAUCUGGAGAGGCUGCUGAGGGAGCUGGGGAGCUUCAGCCUUCAUCCCCCAGCCCAGAGAUGGGAGCCAGGGCUGGGCAGCACCUUGGCCUGUGCACCUCAGCCCCUGUUCUUCUUGCAGGUGCCUGCAGAGGGAGAUGCCCAAGGUGAGCACCAAGGGCUGCUGGCUGUGGGGUAUGCGGGAGGGAGUUGGGGGAAUGAAAGGUCCCUGGGGUGCUCCUUGUUCAGGGGCAUCUCCUGUGCAGAAGUCAGGAAGGAUGGGGCUUGUCUUUGGCUGCCCUCCAGUUCAAUGACAAAUGCAGGAAAGCAACUCCAAAGGGCAUAAGCCUCUAGAUCCCUCCUCAGCACAUGCACAUCCCAGAACCAUUCCAUUCCUCUCCAGGCAGCAGCACGUUGACAGCCCACAGACGGAAGACACCAACUAUGGUGACAUCCAGUGUGAGUACUACCUCCUCCCUUGGGGGAAGCCACAUGCUCCUCUCCCCAUGAGAAUCUUCUGCAAG